This 450-nucleotide ribosomal RNA is filed under the name uncultured bacterium. RNAcentral describes it as "bacterial SSU rRNA". It matches the Rfam family "Bacterial small subunit ribosomal RNA", at positions 354 to 796 of the family's 1533-position model. The record is from RNAcentral.
GUGGGGAAUUUUGGACAAUGGGGGCAACCCUGAUCCAGCAAUGCCGCGUGAGUGAAGAAGGCCCUCGGGUUGUAAAGCUCUUUUGUCAGGGAAGAAACGGUAGGUCCUAAUAUGGCUUACUAAUGACGGUACCUGAAGAAUAAGCACCGGCUAACUACGUGCCAGCAGCCGCGGUAAUACGUAGGGUGCAAGCGUUAAUCGGAAUUACUGGGCGUAAAGCGUGCGCAGGCGGUUUUGUAAGUCUGAUGUGAAAUCCCCGGGCUCAACCUGGGAACUGCAUUGGAGACUGCAAGGCUAGAGUGUGUCAGAGGGGGGUAGAAUUCCACGUGUAGCAGUGAAAUGCGUAGAUAUGUGGAGGAAUACCGAUGGCGAAGGCAGCCCCCUGGGAUAACACUGACGCUCAUGCACGAAAGCGUGGGGAGCAAACAGGAUUAGAAACCCUGGUAGUCC